This 484-nucleotide ribosomal RNA is filed under the name uncultured bacterium. RNAcentral describes it as "partial 16S ribosomal RNA". It matches the Rfam family "Bacterial small subunit ribosomal RNA", at positions 30 to 507 of the family's 1533-position model. The record is from RNAcentral.
AUUGAACGCUGGCGGCAGGCCUAACACAUGCGAGUCGAGCGGAUGAAGGGAGCUUGCUCCUGGAUUCAGCGGCGGACGGGUGAGUAAUGCCUAGGAAUCUGCCUGGUAGUGGGGGAUAACGUCCGGAAACGGGCGCUAAUACCGCAUACGACCAGAGGGAGAAAGUGGGGGAUCUUCGGACAUCACGCUAUCAGAUGAGCCUAGGUCGGAUUAGCUAGUUGGUGUGGUAAAGGCUUACCAAGGCGACGAUCCGUAACUGGUCUGAGAGGAUGAUCAGUCACACUGGAACUGAGACACGGUCCAGACUCCUACGGGAGGCAGCAGUGGGGAAUAUUGGACAAUGGGCGAAAGCCUGAUCCAGCCAUGCCGCGUGUGUGAAGAAGGUCUUCGGAUUGUAAAGCACUUUAAGUUGGGAGGAAGGGCAGUAAGUUAAUACCUUGCUGUUUUGACGUUACCAACAGAAUAAGCACCGGCUAACUUCGUG